GACGUAGGGUGCGAGCGUUGUCCGGAUUUAUUGGGCGUAAAGAGCUCGUAGGCGGCUCGUCGCGUCGACCGUGAAAACCCGCAGCUUAACUGCGGGCUUGCGGUUGAUACGGGCGGGCUAGAGUUCGGUAGGGGAGACUGGAAGUUCCUGGUGUAGCGGUGAAAUGCGCAGAUAUCAGGAGGAACACCGGUGGCGAAGGCGGGUCUCUGGGCCGUAACUGACGCUGAGGAGCGAAAGCAUGGGGAGCGAACAGG
Molecule: ribosomal RNA, 254 nt
Filed under: uncultured bacterium
Lineage: Bacteria
Description: partial 16S ribosomal RNA
Rfam family: Bacterial small subunit ribosomal RNA
Source: RNAcentral